RNAcentral lists this long non-coding RNA (241 nucleotides) under Salvia miltiorrhiza (redroot sage). RNAcentral describes it as "long non-coding RNA (SMIL_LNC010564)". The record is from RNAcentral. Lineage: Eukaryota; Viridiplantae; Streptophyta; Magnoliopsida; Lamiales; Lamiaceae.
UUUUCAUGUGAAAAUAGCGUGGCACCGAAAAAUAAUUAAUUAAAAUAUAACAGUAUUUGUUUAUGUUUAUUUGCAAAGCACGAUUUAGAGUAUUGUUUAAAGCCCCGGAAGCUUGAGAAUUCAGAAACAAAACGUGAUUGGUUGGUUCGGACAGACAGUUGAGUGAGCACAAAGGCAAACAACUAACAAUAAUUAUUACUAAUUCAAAAAAAAAAACUAACAAUAAUUAUUACGACCCCAA